Long non-coding RNA from Nicotiana attenuata, 926 nucleotides. RefSeq lists it as uncharacterized. NCBI's taxonomy places the organism in Eukaryota, Viridiplantae, Streptophyta, Magnoliopsida, Solanales, Solanaceae. The record is from RefSeq and is a predicted model, not a curated record. The transcript has 2 exons.
CCACUUCCAGUUAAAGACCCAAAAUUUCCUAUCAAACUCCCCCAGUUCCCUCUGGGCCCUUCAUAUUUCGUCUUUAUCUACAAGGAGUUUAGGGUUUCCUCUCUUAACUCGCAUUGUUUACCAUCAGAGACGCAAUUUCCUCUCGGCCAAGAAGAAAACCCAUCUCAUUUAUGAAAAGAGGAGAUUUAAAGGAGAUAGCAGAGGUCUAUAUCCCAGAAGUUGAAGUUUGAGUAACAUUAAGGUACAAUCGUUUUCUUGUGUUGGCUUGAUUCAGUUUCUUUUUGGGUCAAUUUGACUUUUCUCUUGCACAUCACUAUUCAUGAAAAACUCACAUUUCCCGUCAAUUCCAAUUUGUGCUACCGAAGCAACAAAAUAAACAAAUUCCGACAAUUUCAGUUCUUGCUGACUUUUUAUUUCUAGGGUUUCGUUGAUUUUCGCAGAUAUUGUUGCAUCGAGGUAAGCUAAAGUCACUCCUUUCUAACUUAGGGUUUCGUUAUUACACCGUUUCUGCAUUUUGUCAAACUUUUCGGCUCUCUAAACAACUAUCGCUUUGUUGCCCUUGAAGUUUUUGGCUCUAUUCAUUUCUGCUUAUAGAACAGGUGGCCGGCCGCGACCAGUGCUACUUUUCUUCAAUUUGAGAAAAUUUCCUUUGUUGAGGUAGUAACCAAUACGCUGAAGAUAAUAAUGUGCCUUCCUAUGAAACUGUACAAAAGGAGCCGCACUUGGUGGGCAGCCAAUAUUAUCUUGUUAUGAAAGUUUGUUGCUGCAUUCUAAGGUCAUAUUCUUCAAAAGGAAAUGAAACUAGCCAAGGACGAGCUCGAAGACAUUUGGAUUGUGUUGUUUUUUUCUGGCAUUUCAUAUGUAUAGAAUUCCUAUUUAUUAUGAAUUUUUAAUAAAAUGUUCCUUGAUCAUUCUGUUUGAUAGAA